This is a long non-coding RNA of Panicum virgatum (switchgrass), 1457 nucleotides long. RefSeq lists it as uncharacterized. The record is from RefSeq and is a predicted model, not a curated record. NCBI's taxonomy places the organism in Eukaryota, Viridiplantae, Streptophyta, Magnoliopsida, Poales, Poaceae. The transcript has 2 exons.
AAGCACUUUGACAGAUCAGAAUGAAGUUGUACGUAAUUCUAUUAGAAAUGCUCCAGAAAACUGUCAAUGGAUAUGUGGAGAUAUUCAAAAGGAAAUUACUAGUUACUUUGCAAAGAUAACUUUAAAAUCCAUUAUUGAAGAAAUUGGAGGUGAUGUGUUUAGUUUGUUGAUUGAUGAGGCUUCCGAUGUGUCCGAUAAAGAGCAAAUGACAGUUGUCUUAAGAUAUCUUAGCAAGCGUGGAUUUAUCAUUGAACGGUUAGUUGGAGUUGUACAUGUGAAGGAAACAUCAGCCAUAUGUCUCAAGGAAUCUCUUCAAAAAUUAUUCACUGAUAUUGGGUUGAGCAUACAACAGGUCAGAGGUCAAUGUUAUGAUGGGGCAAGCAACAUGCGUGGUGAGUUCAAUGGCUUGAAAUCUAAGAUUUUGCAAGAGAAUAGAUCAGCAUAUUAUGUGCAUUGUUUUGCUCACCAGCUCCAGUUGGCCAUUGUGGCAGUAGCAAAGAAGAAUGAAGAUAUUUCAGAUUUUUUCUACAUGAUAUCUGUUUUAUUCAAUGUGGUGGGAGGUUCUUGCAAAAGAAAAGAUAUGAUUAAAGAGAAACAUCGAGAUGAUAUUAGAAAGGCCAUUGGGAGUGGACGAAUUAGCACUGGGACAUGGUUAAAUCAGAUCAAACUCUUCAGAGAGCAGGUGACACACGUUGGGGUUCACACUAUAGAACACUCUCAAGUAUAGUGAAGUUGUUCCCAGCCAUUGUUUCUGUUUUGAAAUAUGUUCAGAAAGAAGGAAAAAAUGAUAAGAAAUCUCAGGCACGUGGUCUUUAGCAUAUUUUGAGACAUUUGAAUUUGUGUUCUAUUUGCAUAUGAUGCUCCAUAUAUUAGGAAGUGCAAAUACUUUGUCUCAAUCUUUACAAAAAAAGGAUCAGGAUAUCCUGAAUGCCAUUUCAUGUGUGCAAUCAACAAGAACUGAGCUGCAAAAAUUAAGAGAAUGGAUGGAACUCACUCCUAGAGAAGGUAUAUUUGUUCUGUGAUGAACAUCACAUUCAAAGGGAAAACAUGCAUGAGGAAUAUGUCAAUAGGCAUGCACCACGAAGGAAAACCAAUAAGACAAAUCUCCAACAUUACAAAAUAGAGGUUCUUAAUUCUGUUAUUGACUGGCAACUCCAAGAGUUUGAUGACCGUUUCAAUGAGGUAAAUUCUGCAUUGCUUCGUCACAUGGCUGCUUUCAAUCCAAAAGACUCUUUUGCUGCCUUUAACAAGGAGAGUUUAGUGAAGUUAGUUGAGUUUUAUCCAGAUGAUUUUGAUUCAGAUAAAUUGGAUGACCUUGGUCAUGAACUUGUUACUUACAUUGACAAUAUGAGAGCAGAUCAAAGGUUUGACAGUUUGGAUGGGAUUGCUGAUCUUGCUAAAUUAAUGGUCGAAACAAAUAAGCAUAUUACUUUUCCUUUGGUCUUUCAUCUUCUAAA